AAUGAACGUUGGCGGCGUGGAUUAGGCAUGCAAGUCGAGCGCGAAACGUAGCAAUACGUGGAAAGCGGCGAAAGGGAGAGUAAUACAUAGGUACGUACCCUUGGACCUGGGAUAGCGGCGGGAAACUGCCGGUAAUACCAGAUAAUGUCUCCGGACCGAAGGUGUGAUUCCGUCUGAGGAGCGGCCUAUGUCCUAUUAGCUAGUUGGUAAGGUAACGGCUUACCAAGGCAAAGAUGGGUAUGGGGUGUGAGAGCAUGCCCCCACUCACUGGGACGUAGACACUGCCCAGACACCUACGGGUGGCUGCAGUCGAGAAUCUUCGGCAAUGGACUCAAGUCUGACCGAGCGACGCCGCGUGCGGGAUGAAGGCGUUCGGGUUGUAAACCGCUGUCGUAGGGGAGGAAAUGCAGGUGGGUACUCCCAUCUGCUUGACUGAUCCUAGGAGGAAGGACCGGCUAAUCUCGUGCCAGCCGCCGCAGUAA
RNAcentral lists this ribosomal RNA (482 nucleotides) under uncultured bacterium. RNAcentral describes it as "partial 16S ribosomal RNA". It matches the Rfam family "Bacterial small subunit ribosomal RNA", at positions 29 to 523 of the family's 1533-position model. The record is from RNAcentral.